GUCCUAGUAACGGCGAGUGAAGCGGCAAUAGCUCAAAUUUAAAAUCUGGCUCUCGAGUCCGAGUUGUAAUUUGUAGAGGAUGCUUUUGGCAUGGUACCUUCCGAGUUCCCUGGAACGGGACGCCAUAGAGGGUGAGAGCCCCGUCUAGUUGGAUAUCUAGCCUCUGUAAAGCUCCUUCGACGAGUCGAGUAGUUUGGGAAUGCUGCUCAAAGUGGGAGGUAUAUGUCUUCUAAAGCUAAAUACUGGCCAGAGACCGAUAGCGCACAAGUAGAGUGAUCGAAAGAUGAAAAGCACUUUGAAAAGAGGGUUAAAUAGUACGUGAAAUUGCUAAAAGGGAAGCGCUUAUAACUAGACGUGGAGAUUACCAAUCACCUAGUUUUUUACUGGGGUACUUGGAUUCCUAGGCUAGCAUCGGUUCCGCGAGAGAUAAAGACGCCUGGAACGUAGCCCCUCGGGGGUGUUAUAGCCUGGCGUGUAAUGUCUUGUUGCGGACCGAGGUCUGCGCAGCAAUGAUGCUGGCAUAAUGGUUAUUAGUGACCCGUCUUGAAACACGGACCAAGGAGUCGUCCUCGUAUGCGAGUGUUUGGGUGUCAAACCCGUGCGCAAAAUGAAAGUAAACGUAGGUGAGAGCCCUGGUGCAUCACCGACCGAUCCUGAUGUUCUCGGAUGGAUUUGAGUAAGAGCAUACGGGGCCGGACCCGAAAGAAGGUGAACUAUGCCUGCGUAGGGUGAAGCCAGAGGAAACUCUGGUGGAGGCUCGCAGCGGUUCUGACGUGCAAAUCGAUCGUCAAACGUGGGCAUGGGGGCGAAAGACUAAU
RNAcentral lists this ribosomal RNA (818 nucleotides) under Ophiocordyceps sp. Its description in RNAcentral is "partial large subunit ribosomal RNA". It matches the Rfam family "Eukaryotic large subunit ribosomal RNA", at positions 77 to 935 of the family's 3401-position model. The record is from RNAcentral. Lineage: Eukaryota; Fungi; Ascomycota; Sordariomycetes; Hypocreales; Ophiocordycipitaceae.